This is an RNA transcript of Strongylocentrotus purpuratus (purple sea urchin), 578 nucleotides long. RefSeq lists it as uncharacterized. The transcript is spliced from 3 exons. The record is from RefSeq and is a predicted model, not a curated record. NCBI's taxonomy places the organism in Eukaryota, Metazoa, Echinodermata, Echinoidea, Camarodonta, Strongylocentrotidae.
GCGGGUACCACGAGAAAGAAGAAUGAACGGAAAUGCUCGUCAACUUGAGAGAGUAACUCGGACAAGCCCUGACGUACCAAGACAACAUGAACUCCUGAGGACUUUUUUUGGAAGAAACGUAUGAAGCAGGCAUCGAUAUAUUUGCUUUUCUACUGACGACCAAGUGCCAAAUAUCUGCAAUAAACGAUGAGUGCUGAUGAAAAUACUAAAUGGACCCUCCCUAGCGGAGACCCAGAGAAAGGAAAGGUAAUAUAUGCAAAUAUAUGCGCUUCGUGUCAUUGCGUUGAACCCGGUGGGACCAGCAGAUCGGGACCAAACUUAUCGGGGGUCUGGGGGCGCCAGGCGGGCACCCCACUACCGGCUACAAGUUCGCUAAAUCCGAUGAAAAGAAAGGUAUAAUUUGGAAUGACAGGAGGCUAUGGGAUUACUUUGAGCAUGGUCAUAUACCCGGUACCAGGAUGUUCUUUAGAGCUCUAAAAAAGGACCAACAGAAACGAGCCGAUCUUCUAGCGUACCUCAAGAUUGCGUCAGCCCCGCCAAAAUGAGGAUGGCGGAGUCCUGACACCCACGAUGCACAC